GUCGUCUGAGAGACAUCGAACGAGGGGUACAUCGACUGAACAUACAUUGCGAUUCAAUAUUCAGUAUUUUAUGACCGUGAUUGCAAUCCAAAUUUGCAUUUGAGCUCAGCAGUCGAGUGUGGUGCCAAAAAUACCAGAAGCGAUGUCCUAUAUACGGCCUUGACCAGAAGUGUUGCAUGCCCUGGAUGCAGAAAAACAAGAUUGAGAUGAGUGGAUCAAGAUGUAUCUUUCGUGCAGAUGUAUCAAGAUCCUUUCACUUAAGAUCCAUGCAGGCGCAAGCUUUGGAUGAACUUCUGCUUCUGCGGUCGGCAUUCUUACAGGAGAACCCAAGAUUCAUUGUACCUACCUGUAUGCAUUUCAAAACUGAAUAAUUGAUAGCAACAAGUAAAUAUUUGAAGUUGCAGCCAAAUGCUGUGCCUUCUCUGCUGCAAGAGCUACAUGUCACCAUUGAAGCAAGGACCAGCUCGACUCCUGCAGUAGGAGUCCAGCCUCGUCCAGUCGUCGCCGCUCGCCAAGACCAGCCGGACUCCUGCAAUAGGGGUCCAGGCUGACCCGUUCGUCCAGUAACCGCCGCUCGUCAGCACCAGCUGGGCUCCUGUAGUAGGGGUCCAGCCUCGUCCAGUCGCCGCCGCUCGCCAAGACCAGCUGGGCUCCUGUAGUAUGGGGCUAGGAUGGCCCGUUCAUCAACCGGUCCUGAAGUCACAUCGCCGUCAGCCAGCCGAACUCAGUACAUAAGUCACCAACCCUGAAUGUUGCCAGCCAAAGUCGGCAGUUUCCUUCGGACAGUCAUCUCACCAGUGUUGUACAGUGUACGAGGUUAGUGACGCAGUUAAAUGCGUCAAUUAAAUGCGAGGACGUGCGCUUGUAUGCAGCGUUUUGUCAUGUUGAGCUGCAUGGGUGUCGAUUUUCACCGAAUUGAGGGUGCCCACUGCCCGGGCGCAGCAAAUCCGCCGCUGCCUUAGCGGUGACCUUGACCCGCACCGUCUGUUGGGGCUCCAAAGCCAAGCCAGCCGAGCCGGCGGGGAAUCUAAAGAGCUUGAGCACCCCCAACCCGGCGGAAAUUGACACCUAUGUUGAGCUGUAUGGAUGCGUUUUAGCCUUCCGCCGUGGUGGUAAAUAGCAGCCUACAUGCAGAAUUAGGCAGGCUUAUUAGCGGACUCAUUAUUGGAUUCAUUGUGUCACGUUUGUCGGCACGUGUAAGAUGUGCUUAACUGCCAUUAGCUCUCGGCCUGGCGACUUCUGGGGACCACGUAAUGGGGAU
RNAcentral lists this long non-coding RNA (1261 nucleotides) under Amphibalanus amphitrite. RNAcentral's name for it is "uncharacterized LOC122376481". The record is from RNAcentral. Lineage: Eukaryota; Metazoa; Arthropoda; Thecostraca; Balanomorpha; Balanidae.